RNAcentral lists this ribosomal RNA (497 nucleotides) under uncultured bacterium. RNAcentral's name for it is "partial 16S ribosomal RNA". It matches the Rfam family "Bacterial small subunit ribosomal RNA", at positions 28 to 507 of the family's 1533-position model. The record is from RNAcentral.
GAUGAACGCUGGCGGCGUGCCUAAUACAUGCAAGUCGAGCGAACAGACGAGGAGCUUGCUCCUCUGAUGUUAGCGGCGGACGGGUGAGUAACACGUGGAUAACCUACCUAUAAGACUGGGAUAACUUCGGGAAACCGGAGCUAAUACCGGAUAAUAUAUUGAACCGCAUGGUUCAAUAGUAAAAGACGGUCUUGCUGUCACUUAUAGAUGGAUCCGCGCCGCAUUAGCUAGUUGGUAAGGUAACGGCUUACCAAGGCAACGAUGCGUAGCCGACCUGAGAGGGUGAUCGGCCACACUGGAACUGAGACACGGUCCAGACUCCUACGGGAGGCAGCAGUAGGGAAUCUUCCGCAAUGGGCGAAAGCCUGACGGAGCAACGCCGCGUGAGUGAUGAAGGUCUUCGGAUCGUAAAACUCUGUUAUUAGGGAAGAACAAAUGUGUAAGUAACUAUGCACGUCUUGACGGUACCUAAUCAGAAAGCCACGGCUAACUACGUG